This is a long non-coding RNA of Aegilops tauschii subsp. strangulata, 1269 nucleotides long. RefSeq lists it as uncharacterized. The record is from RefSeq and is a predicted model, not a curated record. NCBI's taxonomy places the organism in Eukaryota, Viridiplantae, Streptophyta, Magnoliopsida, Poales, Poaceae.
UACUAGCGAGGACUCUCUGACCAAGGCCAUGAGUAGGACGACAUCCCGCAACCUUGACUUCAAAGGUUAUUCGUGCAUGUAUGCGAUGGCUCCGUACUUGGUCUAUUCUGUAGAAGUCGGAGGACAGAGACAUUUUUAUGACGGCGUCUACACGACUGGAGCAUACGACCAGGGAGGUUUUCUCCCUCCAUGGAUGGCAGUGUAAUCUCCGUAUAGGAUCAGCCCCACCCUAGGCUGGAUUGGUUUAUUUUUGCUGCAAAACAAUGUUUAUUUUUUGGUCGUUUGGAUUUGUUGGUUGUGUGCAUCAUAUUAUGCAGAGGCCGGGCAUUCUUUGGAUGCGGUUGUAUCACCUUCAUAAAUCAAUUCAAUGAAAUGUCCUUUAUCGGAAAAAAAAAGAGCGCAUGAGAUCACCUAUAUUUGAUGAAUUAUUCCUUUGGUGCCACAUAGAGUAGAGAUCCUACCAAGACGUUCCCAUUGGGAAUAAUUAAAGGACUCCCUACGUUUCUAAAUAUAAGACAUUUUAGAGAUUUUAAUAAUGACUACAUAUGAAUGUAUAUAAACGCAUUUCAGAGCGUGGAUUCACAUAAUUCGUUCUAUAUAUAGUCUAUAUUGAAAUCUCUAAAAAAAGACAUAUAUUUAGGAAUGAAGUAAGUACUAUAUUUGAAAAGACAUAUUUAGGAAUGGAGUAAUAAGUACUACAAUUGAGAAGAUACGGCAAUAGAAUACUUACCAUAUGCGUAACUUAUCCUCGUCAGCCGCUCCUAUUUAUAUACCACGGCCAGACAGACGUACCCGACCAUAGCUAGCGAAACACGGGAGAAAGCCCUAGACUAGAAACUACAAAUUGAUCGAAGAACCGCCAAGCUCGAUAGAUCGCCGUAACAGCAGUGCCGACACAGCAUGGCGACCAGAGUUGUGUCUCUUGCUCUCUGCGCUCUCCUCGCACUCUCCCUAGUGUGUCAGGCGGUUUCUCGUGUGGAUCCUGCCAGAGGGGUGGCGGUGAACGGGUACCCGUGCGGCAACGUGGUCGUCAUCCGCGUCCCGCACGAGGGUGUCUGCCAGCGGGACCGUUGCGGCGGGCUGUGCGUGGAGCAGUUCAUGUGGAAGUACCCGGGCAUCAAGGCCGUCAUAGGCGACUGCACGAAUGAGAAUACCCACGAAUGUAUCUGCUCUUUUCUUUGCUAGUUGAACUUGAUGUAUAAGGGUAGUAGCCAAUGUUGUGAUGUUGUUUGGCUCGUAAGAAAUAAAACUUGCUGCCCAUUCUUUUCU